This 71-nucleotide transfer RNA is filed under the name Aplysina cauliformis (row pore rope sponge). Its description in RNAcentral is "tRNA-Gln". It matches the Rfam family "tRNA". From Rfam's summary of the family: Transfer RNA (tRNA) molecules are approximately 80 nucleotides in length. The record is from RNAcentral. RNAcentral also lists the same sequence under 2 other names. Lineage: Eukaryota; Metazoa; Porifera; Demospongiae; Verongiida; Aplysinidae.
UAGGGGUUAGCCAAAUGGUAUGGCGUUAAGUUUUGGUCUUAAAGUUGCAGGUUCGACUCCUGCACCCCUAU